Molecule: ribosomal RNA, 485 nt
Filed under: uncultured bacterium
Lineage: Bacteria
Description: partial 16S ribosomal RNA
Rfam family: Bacterial small subunit ribosomal RNA
Source: RNAcentral
AUUGAACGCUGGCGGCAUGCCUUACACAUGCAAGUCGAACGGCAGCGGGCCCUUCGGUGUGCCGGCGAGUGGCGAACGGGUGAGUAAUGCAUCGGAACGUACCCGGGAGAGGGGGAUAACGGGCCGAAAGGCUGGCUAAUACCGCAUGAACUCGGAAGAGCAAAGCGGGGGACCUUCGGGCCUCGCGCUCUCGGAGCGGCCGAUGUCCGAUUAGGGUAGUUGGUGGGGUAAAGGCCCACCAAGGCGACGAUCGGUAGCGGGUCUGAGAGGACGAUCCGCCACACGGGGACUGAGACACGGCCCAGACUCCUACGGGAGGCAGCAGUGGGGAAUCUUGGACAAUGGGCGCAAGCCUGAUCCAGCAAUGCCGCGUGGGUGAAGAAGGCCUUCGGGUUGUAAAGCCCUUUCGGCGGGGAAGAAAUCGGUCAGGCGAAUAGUCUGGCCGGAUGACGGUACCCGCAGAAGAAGCACCGGCUAACUACGUG